GUUGUGGAAAUAUUCUCCUUGUUUGCAUAAACAUGCGAGCAUAACUCGCUUUACGGUCUGUAUGUGAAAGCAUGAUUAGUACUUCCUUGUUCAUGAACUUGCACCACCAUAUCAACUGCACUGAAAGGGGAUUCCAGUUCAUCUCGAGUCGUUUGUAUCCCAUUUAAAGAUUCUAUUGAUGGUUUACACUCAGUAAAUCAGAAUGGAGACUGCGACGACAGAUGAUUGCUCUACCUGCACGUGUUGGACCAAUAUCCUCAUCAUUUUCAUCGUUACCUGCAUACUUAAUCUCAUCUGUUGGGUCAUUUGUCUCGUAAUCCUCAUCAAAAACAAAUGCUCCCGCUGUGGAUCUGACGAUGAUACACCACGUGAUGAUGAGGUUCAACUUGAUUUGUAUCAACAAAGAGAGAGUCAGAAAAUAAAAUAACUUACCCCCUUCGGAGAUUCAGUGAAAUUCAAGGACAGUGGUUAUAGUAACAAAGUUCCUGUUAAAAAAAACCUAUACUAUCUUUGAUAUGCGAUGUAUUUGGUUUUGUUGAUGUACAUGUAGGAAUAUUUUAAAAAAAUGAAAGGGGAAGAAAAAAAAUAUAUAUAUGUAAUUCGUGCAGACGCUUUCAAGAUAUCUGAGACUGAAAAAAGUAUCGUUUAAUUCAUCUGCUGGAAAGUCUACAAUAUUGUAUGACAUGUACAUGGUUACAAAACUAGGAUGGUGUUUCUAUUCACUUGAAUUUUCACUUUUAUAAAGUAUUUAAUGAACAUCUUUUUUAAGGAUCCUGGCGCAUUACAAAUGUCCAUAUUACUAUUAUUAUCGUUAUUAUUAUUAAAAUGAUUUUCGGGUGCAAGUUUUCUGGGCUUCAUCUUUAUAUCAUACCACAUGCACAGGUACGAAAUGGGACUUUGUAGCUCAGAUUUUAAAGUAGCCACCUGGUCCAGAGCCGUAUGGGGUAUGCAUGCGAAGGUAAUAUCAACGUAGACUGGUCUUGCGAAUGUAUAUAUGAGAGAAAAAAUAUUGUUGUACAUGUAGGAAUCAGUUUCAGUGCUGGCAUUGAAUUUUAUAUGUUUUAUUAGAAAAAAUGAGACACGCGCAUAACUUAAGGGGGAUAUUAGAGUUUAUUUGAACAUUAUAUAUUAUGUAUAAUUCCUCAUACAGAGAUUAAAUUAAUUAUAAUGAUAAUCUUAAUGUUCUGUAAUAUUAAAUGAUAUUUCAUUCAUUUUGAAAUCAAGUAUAUUUGUGGCUGUGGAAUCUUGAACUUCAAUACUAUUAUAUGCAAUUUUUCUGCUUUUGCUUAUAAUAUUUUAGUAAAAAUUCAAAAAAUAUUUAGUUUUAUAUGUUGCUUAUAAUGAAUACAAAUCAAUAUUCAUUCAUGGUUUGUGACAAUUAGUUGUGAAUUUUUUUCAGAAGGGGGGUGGAUACAUCACCAAUUGAAAAAAAUAAUCGGAUAACAGCUUUCGUUUUGAAAAAUGUAAAAUCUGAAAUAUCGGCAUAUACCCUUUCUUGAUUGUAAAAUAUGAGGAGUAUGACUUUAAGAGUAUCUCGGCAAAUGCACAUGAUCUUGAAAAAUAAUGAAUAAGAAAUUAGUUGACACAAAAAUCUUCAUUAAGUUAGAAAAAUUAAAAGACCAAAAAAGGCGUACAGGUAAUUGUUUGUUGAUUAAAAUUGAUUGAAUUUAUUUGUCAAACCAUCAAAAUAACAACAAUAAGCAUCGAAUAAAAUAUAUAUGUAUAUAUAUAUAUCAGGCUUGAUGGGUAACUAUAUACAAAAGCUCGAGCGCUUAUAAUCUAGCGGGAUCAUUAUUAUGUACGUAUACAUGUAACGUUAUAUAUUCAACAAGUUAAAAUCGUAUUAUUUACGGGAAAAAAAUAAUAAAUAAUAUUACUAAUCAUUACUAUAACAAUGAUAUGUUAUACUGUAGAAACAAAAGAAAACGAAGAGGAAAUAAAUUGAAGUAGGAAGAGCUGGAGAGGGAAAGUGGACACUGGACAGUAAUAUCCUAAGGAGAAGAAAAUUGAUUAUGGAAAAAUAAAAAGGGAGAAGUACAAAAAUAUAUCAUUCACAUUAUUUACAAUAUAUUAAGAAGGCUGAAAAAAGAAGGUGGUUUGUAAGUUUAUUACAAAUGAUUUACUUCUCUCCUCUUAAUCUUCAGUUACUAAUAUCAUUUUAAUUUCAUCUAAAAAUUAACAAGUUUCCUUUACGUCAAUAUGAAGAGAAUUCAUUAUGGGAAUGUAAAAUACAUGAUUACAAAUACGCCCUAAUCUUUAUGUUUUAAAUUCAGGCGGCUGUUUCUUGUAUUGUAAUUAGAUAAGUCAGUUACAAGAUAAAAGCCAGAUUUAAUGGA
Lytechinus pictus (painted urchin) is the source of this 2336-nucleotide long non-coding RNA. RefSeq lists it as uncharacterized. NCBI's taxonomy places the organism in Eukaryota, Metazoa, Echinodermata, Echinoidea, Temnopleuroida, Toxopneustidae. The record is from RefSeq and is a predicted model, not a curated record. The transcript has 4 exons.